UUCUUUUUUCUUUCAACAUAACACAUUUGCCAUGCUAGCUUUUGAUUAUUUUUUAUUUUAAUUUUCUUUUUCCUAUUCAUCAAUGUUCAAAUUAACAUUUUUAUGCUUUCAUGGCUUUACCUCAAAUCCAGCCUAUAACUUGCAAGCCCCAUUUAAAUUCUAGUAAUUUCUUAGUAAUCCCUCAAUCUAAUCAACCUAAUGUGUUUUCCUUCUAAAAAAUUUUGACCAAAAAAUGACAAGAAAAUAACAACUACUACUCACUCCAAAUACCAAAAAGCCCAAUUUCUACUCGGCAUUGUAUCAAACAUUUGUUGAGCAUAAUCUAACAUUCAUUUCUUCCAGAUAUUUUUCGAACUAUUAUCCCAAAGAUAAACGAAUACAAUUUCUACUGUAUAAGAAACUUACGAGGUAAGUACACAGUACAUGAUCUAUCAAAAAGCAACCUCGAACUGGAAAAAAAAUGUAAAGAAUCUGAGGAACAUCCUUCUCAGAAUAUUUUUGCUUCUCACUUCAAUCAAUUGGUAAUGAUUUUUCACACACGUCUAAAGAGUGUUCAAAACAAAACAAAUCAACCUAAAUACAUCUUACAAAUAGAUCAAAAAUGAUCUUUUCUUUUACUUGCGGUGUAUUUGCUAUCUGAAGGAACCACAUUCCCUUUUCUCCUCCUUUUGCUUUUUUCUAGGUCUGCUCCUGUCAGAUAUGCAAACCUGCACAGUACGGUGAAAUGAAAGUGGGUUGAUCAUAAGAUAGUAACAGAAGAAAGAGAAGAAAAUCCCAUGAUCAUAGGAUAAAAACAAAAAGAAUAUAAGCUUAUUUUAAGCACGAUUAGUUUGGAGCCCUGGGAUUACACCUUCACCCUUCCCUUCGCGAGUAGUGGUCAAUUUAGUCCAGGCCCGCCUCCCCUCACCUAGCCCGGACCCGGGACCACGCUCAGGUCCGAGACCGCCCCAGACCCGAGACCAGGCCCAGGUCCAGGCCCCCCUCCCCCCCGCAGGACCACGCCCAAGUCCGGACCCCCACCCCCUNNNNNNNNNNNNNNNNNNNNNNNNNNNNNNNNNNNNNNNNNNNNNNNNNNNNNNNNNNNNNNNNNNNNNNNNNNNNNNNNNNNNNNNNNNNNNNNNNNNNNNNNNNNNNNNNNNNNNNNNNNNNNNNNNNNNNNNNNNNNNNNNNNNNNNNNNNNNNNNNNNNNNNNNNNNNNNNNNNNNNNNNNNNNNNNNNNNNNNNNNNNNNNNNNNNNNNNNNNNNNNNNNNNNNNNNNNNNNNNNNNNNNNNNNNNNNNNNNNNNNNNNNNNNNNNNNNNNNNNNNNNNNNNNNNNNNNNNNNNNNNNNNNNNNNNNNNNNNNNNNNNNNNNNNNNNNNNNNNNNNNNNNNNNNNNNNNNNNNNNNNNNNNNNNNNNNNNNNNNNNNNNNNNNNNNNNNNNNNNNNNNNNNNNNNNNNNNNNNNNNNNNNNNNNNNNNNNNNNNNNNNNNNNNNNNNNNNNNNNNNNNNNNNNNNNNNNNNNNNNNNNNNNNNNNNNNNNNNNNNNNNNNNNNNNNNNNNNNNNNNNNNNNNNNNNNNNNNNNNNNNNNNNNNNNNNNNNNNNNNNNNNNNNNNNNNNNNNNNNNNNNNNNNNNNNNNNNNNNNNNNNNNNNNNNNNNNNNNNNNNNNNNNNNNNNNNNNNNNNNNNNNNNNNNNNNNNNNNNNNNNNNNNNNNNNNNNNNNNNNNNNNNNNNNNNNNNNNNNNNNNNNNNNNNNNNNNNNNNNNNNNNNNNNNNNNNNNNNNNNNNNNNNNNNNNNNNNNNNNNNNNNNNNNNNNNNNNNNNNNNNNNNNNNNNNNNNNNNNNNNNNNNNNNNNNNNNNNNNNNNNNNNNNNNNNNNNNNNNNNNNNNNNNNNNNNNNNNNNNNNNNNNNNNNNNNNNNNNNNGUCCUCCUCCCCGGUUUGGACCCGGGACCACGCCGAGCUCAAGGCCUCUCACCCCACCCCCACCCACCCACUCACCCUGCUAAGUAUUAGAGAACUAAUAUAAAAAUAUAAGAGUCUCACCUGCAUUAAUUUAACUGCAAAACUGGAUUUAGCUCCAUCAAUGCUUUCAAAUAAAGAUCCUAAAGAACAUAAUAGAUGAGAAGAAAAAUCAGAAACGCAUUGAAGCAUGUGAGGUAUUGAAAACUACAAGGAAGUCUAAGAAAAGAAGUCAGGAGAUUUGAUUUUGCAAUGGAUCUGUAGAUUAAUACUUACCAAAUAUGAAGUAAAUAUCAUCAACAAUCACUUCUUAUGCUAAGUUCUUCAAGUACAUCUGAGAAGGAUUCCCAGCAGAAUAAUUCCGCAUAGAAACUCAUGAGUUAAUCAUUCAGUCCUUUGUUUGCACUAAUAGUUCAACAUAGAAGGAAAUACCUUUCGUGCUUGUACACGGACUGUGAUGUCUAAGAGUUCAAACACAAACUUGCUACUUAGCUUUUCUCAUUAAUAGAACUUUUGAUGAUUAAGAAGUGAACAUGAUAACUUAUAGACUGGAAAGAUGCAAUCUUAAUGAACUUCUGCAGCAAAUAUUUACUGAACAAAAACAUUUCUUAUCAAUAAACCAGAUACUACUCAUAAUGAAAGGCUAAGAAGCAACAAUCUAUAAGAAAAAGUAGGUUGUAUGAAGCAUGAAUGUAUCUCAAAGCUCAUGAACGUAUCUCAAAACAUGGUGUCACUGACAAAUGAUAAUGGCAGCAGACGCUAAAGCAUAAUGCUAGAAACGAGCAACUGGGAAACUAUAUCUCACUGAUACCUCUUGGUUUGACAACAUAAACAGAAGUAAUUGCAUCAGUAUGGCCCUCUAGUAGAUGCGUACAAGAUCCAGCAGCCUUCUAUAUUCUGAUUAGCACUAUCAAAAGUUAGGUUGACACAAUAACCUUAAAAGAAAAGGCGAGUUCUAAACCAAAAAAUGCAAUUAGCAUAAGAAUAAACAAUCAGUAGGUUAUCAUCCAAAACCAUCAUAACAUCCAGUCAAAACAAACCUCAGAUCACAAAUAAGCACAUCUUGUCAGUUAAGGCAAUAGUGGAUUGUAUGCAAAGAAGACCUUUUUUACAUUCUUAAUUGUCACCAUGUAAUAUUUUAGGGGCAAAAGCACAUGGAGGAUGAAUUUUACCUCAAAACACUUGGAAAAAAAACAGCAUAACGUAAUAAUAUCAAAAACAUUGUCCUUAUUAAUCUAGUGUGUAAGAGAUAUGUAUGAGUGAAGUGAAUGCGCAACAGACCUGGAGUACAAGGUACAGAGAUCAAAUAUCCAGAGAAAUGAAACCAUUUCAUUUAGUCAUAUUAUGCUAGCUCUCUAUUUAUCUAUUUAUUUGGGGGUGGGGGGUGCGGCGGAUAAAACCAAUACAUUAAACAGAGAAUGAUAUACAAGGCAUUAAAAAUUACAAGGAUGACACUGAUAUUCUAGAUAAACAAACUUCACACUCAUGCUUACUUAGAAUUAGAACCAUCAACAGCACUAACCCAGCAUACUUAUCGAAGAAGAAGAGAAGUUCACUUACAUCGUUAAACAUUUUGAUAAUCUAUGAAGAAUAUUCGAGUGGAAAUUAAAGUGAGUUUAGAAGAUAUUUUUGGACGAAAAUUGAGGGAUAACUGGAGAAUGAGAAAGAGAAAGUACAAAGGGAAAAGGAUCAGAGUAGAGCUUUUUCAAAUUUAACCUAGAGAAGUUCUCUGUCUUCCAAGUAAACCUUACAGUCUGGGGACCUCCGAUUGCAGAUUUUCCCCAUCAUGUCAUGUUUCUACUGCUGCUAGCAAGUCAACAUGGAGAAACCAUCAGAUCAAAACCUCUAAAUCCAGCUGUAAAGAACAUAGACGUACAUAUUGGAUAAGCCAAUGUACAAUCAUCUAAGAUUUAGUUUAAUUUGAAAAUUGUAGCAACUUGAAAUGAAGAUGCAUGGCGUAAGCCCUGUGGUGAAGCUGCACUACACAACCUUUCUCAUUACCAUAUCUCCAACAACAUCAUCGAUAGCACAGUCGUCCAAAUGUUACAUAUGACUUUUGUCCACCAUCCUUUAGAUAUCCAAUGACGCAGAGAUGCACCACAUUAUUAAAGCUCAUCAAAACAUACCAAAGUGGCUCUGCACAACCAUUGUACUAAUAUUCCAAAAGGUUAAGUAAACAAAUCUCUUGUGAUUGCAAACUAUUAAACUAAAGAAUAAGUUAUUCAAGACAAUUAUUCACUUCCCAACAUUUCAUUGGACAACAAGCGAAUCUAAAAUGUGAACAUACUUACAUUAUCAGUCAACUUUCCAUAACAUGGAUCCUAUACCGCAAACUUAUAUUUUAAUAAAUUAACAUAUCAAUGCCUAGUUUAGCAUAGUUCAGACUCCAGACACAACAUUUAGUAAACAAAAGGAGUCAAAAUUAUCAGUUGUUUUAUUUCUCAUCCUUCAGUUAUUUCUGCCUGACUAGGCAUUCACGAGUGCCAAUGUAGCAUGAAUGAGUAUUUUUCCCUUUGAAUAACCUAUCAAGUAUCAACUGUAUAAACAUGGGAAAUGUUCCACUAAUCCUAUAUACGCCAUUCUUGAAAUAGUAAAACACAAAUAAAUUGCUUCUUUUUCUUCCUCACAUUUCUUCUUUUUUCUUUUGAGAAAGGUAAAAUACUUCCUCGUGUUUCUUAUUACCUUUUAGUAUCCCCUUUGAAUAACAUAUCAACCGUAUAAACAUGGGAAAUUUUCUACUAAUCCUAUAGUCCCAAUUCUUGAAAGAGUAAAACACAUUGCUUCUUUUUUUCCCUCGCAUUUCUUAUUACCUUUGAAUAACCCAUCAACAGUAUAGACAUGGGAAAUGUUCUGCUAAUCCUGUAUGCCACAUUCCCGAAAUAGUAAAACACAAACACACUGCUACUUUUUUUCUCAAAUUUCUUGUUACCUUUGAAUAACCUAUCAACUGUCUAAACAUAGGAAAUGUUCUACUAAUCCUAUAGUGCCCAUUCUCGAAAUAGUAAAACACAAACACAUUGCUUCUUUUUUUCCCCCUCAAAUUUCUUAAAUCCUAUAGUCCCCAUUCUUUAAAUUGUAAAACACAAACACAAUGCUUCUUUUUCUUCCUCACAUUUCUUAUUACCUUUGAAUAACCUCUCAACUGUAUAAACAUGGGAAUUGUUAACUUAUCCUUUAGUCCACAUUCUUGAAAUAGUAAAACACAAACACAGUGCUUCUUUUUCUUCCUUGCAUUUCAUAUUACCUUUGAAUAAUAUAUCAACUGUAUAAACAUAGAAAAUGUUCUACUGCUCAUAUAGUCCACAUUCUCGAAAUAGUAAAAAACAAAUACAUUGCUUCUUCUUCCUCGCAUUUCUUAAUUGAUACAAACACUUCCUGACGUUUCUUAUUACCUCUGAGUAUGCCCUUUGAAUAACUCUAUCAACUGUAUAAACAUGUGAAAUGUUCUAAUAAUCAUAUAGUCCACAUUCUUGAAAUAGUAAAACAAAAACACGCUGCUUUCAUUUCUUUCUCAGUUUCUUUGAGAAAGGUAAAAUACUUCCUCCGUUCUCGAAAUAGUAAAACAGAAACAGAUUCCUUCUUUUUCUUCAUCACAUUUCUUUUUUUUUGUUUUGUUUUUAGAAAUGUAGAAUACUUCCGCACACUUCUUAUUUCAUUUGAAUAACCUAUCAACUGUAUAAACAUGUGAAAUGUCCACAUUCCUCAAACAGUAAAACACAAACACAUUGCUGCUGCUUCUUCCUCACAUUUCUUAAUUGAUACAAAUAAUUCCUCGUGUUUCUUAUUAUCUCUGAGUGUCCCCUUUGAAUAACCCUAUCAACUGUAUAAACAUGCGAAAUGUUCUACUAAUCAUAUAAUCCAUAUUCUCAAAAUAGUAAAAUACAAACAGAUUGCUACUUCUUUUUCCUCGCAUUUGUUAAAUAAUACAAAAAAAAAAAAAACGCUUAAUUAAUUACCUUCCUUAGGCUGAGGACCUUCUCAUCAGACAAAUCAGAACGUGGAAGACAUCUCCUCAUCUUCUCGCUACUCCGACAUAAACACACGAGAAAAAAAAAACAGUUACAAAAAUUCACAAAGUACAAAACCCUAAAAUUAACAAAGAAUUAGUAACAAUUGUAAGGCAAUUCAAUUGUAAGAAUUAUUAUACUUAAACCGUUAAACGUUUUGAUAAUUGAUGAAGAAUAUUCGAGCGGAAAUUGAAGUGAAUUUAGAAGAUGCUUUUGGAAGAAAAUGGCCCGUGAAAAUUGAGAGAUCAACUGGAGAACGAGAAAGAGAAAGUAUAUAUAGAGGGAAAAUGGAAAUGAUAGAUCCUCCAAGUUUCUAAUUAAGAAAAGGUAAUAAGUGGUCCGGCAAAUAAAUUAAGUCAUUGAGGCAGUUAUUCCAUAAUUAUAUUAGUUAUUUGAACAACUUCUUUCAUUUGUCAAAUAACUAUGUUUAGUUGUUCAAACAGCUGCGUUCAAUUGUUGAAUAAUUUAUGCAGUUGUUGAAUAAUUUUAUAAAAUUAUCGAACAACUAUCAAAGUUGUUCUACAACUGAAAUAAGUUGUUGAAAACAAAAAAAUCUUAAAAAAAAAAAAAACUCAAAAAGGAUUUGUCCAUCCCACCUAAUUUUAAAAAUUUGAAUGACUCCCACUUAAUUGGAUAACUUGUUCGUCCUUUUUAAUCCAAAGUCCCCUGCUAUAGUAGUAAGAUGGAACAAUGGGAGGGUAGUUUAGUCAUUUAAGAAUAAUCUUUUACGUAUUUUUUUAACGGUCAAAUUUUUCCUAUUUUUAGCCUUUGAUGUGGACCGUUGGAUGCAAUUGAUUGAGCUGUUACUGAGCGUUGGAUGUUGUAUGUAAUAAUCUGUUGGCUUGCCCCCUAGUGUAUCAUUUAGAAUUUACUCCUAAUUCUUCAAAAUUAUGUAAAUAUAAGGACAUGUGAAUGUGGUAUAAUAAUUUUUAUAAGAUUUUCCAAUUUUGUUAAAAAGAAUUUUUAGAUUAUGAUUAAAAAAUUCAUAAUUGUAAUAGGAAUAAAAUUUGUCAUUUACUAAAUGAUUAUAUGGUUUAUAUCAAAAAGAGCUAAUCAGCAAAAAAAUUUUAGUAAUAACCGGUCUAUUACUAUUAUUAGUGUAACUGCAUAUGCCCCGCACAUAUAAUAUUUGAUUAUUUAAAGUUAAAUAAUUUUAUUUUUUGUGAAGUUUUUUAAUAAAGUGUAAAAAAUUUAAAUCCGUUAUAAAAUAAGAAAGAAUAAAGAAUAAAAUAAGAAAGAAUAAAGAAGAGUAGAGAGAAUAGAGAGAGUAGUUCUUAUUUCUUCUUUUGAGGGAUGAGAGAUCAUCAGGUUGUAUAUACAAUGAACAAAAACUCUCUAUUUAUAGAGAAAAUUUACUCCUAAUCUGAGUAAAAGACGGAUGCUUCAAAUCCUAAUAGAUAUCAAAGUAGAUUUUGAUAGAUCUUGAUAGACAUUCACUAUAAUGUAAACACAUUUAUAACUCUUCCCCUUGAAUGUCUAAUUGGUAGAUAAUGUGCCUCGUUAAAACCUUACUAGAAAAAAUCCAGUAGGAAAAAAAUCUAGUGAAGGAAAAAGAGUACAUAUCUCUAAUAAUACGCAUUUCGGCUGCCUUAUUAAAAACCUUACAAGGAAACCCAGUGAGACAAAACCUCGUAAGGAAAAAAAAGUACAGCGCGUAUUAACUCCCCCUAAUGAGAACAUCAUUGAACCUCUGCAUCCCGAUCUUGUGCGUCAUCUUCUUAAAAGUUGUAAUUGGAGAAGACUUGAUAAAUAAAUCAGUCACAUUGUCAGUUGAACGAAUUUGUUGCACGUUAAUAUCAUCAUUCUUUUGUAGCUCAUGUAUGUAGAAAAGUUUUGGCAAAAUGUGCUUCGUUCUAUCUCCAUUUACGAAUCUCUCUUAAGAUGUGCUAUGUAUGCUGAAUUAUCUCUGUAUAAAAUUGUUGGUAGAUUGUCAUAUUUCACACCACAUUUUUCUCGAAUGAGAUGUAUCAUGGACCUCAAUCAUACACAUUCUCGGCUUGCUUCAUGAAUAGUUAUUAUCUCAGCAUGAUUCGAUGAAGUGGCUACGAUAGACUGCUUUGUAUAUUUCCAAGAUAUGACAGUAUCCCCACGUGUGAACACAUUGUAUGUUUGAGACCGAGAUUUAUGCUGGUUAGAUGAGUACCCAACAUCAGCAUGACCAGUAAGAUCGGGGCUGCAAUAUUUAGAAUAAAAUAAACUCAUGUAUCUUAUUCCAUUUCGAUAUCUCCUAGUAGAAGUAGAAAUAUAUCUUGCUAACAAAUUGAGCGAAAAGCUAUAUUGGGUCUUGUAGUUUUUUACAAGAUAUAUGAGUGCACCAAUUGUACUAAGAUAUGGUAUCAUAACCAAUCCAAAUCGGUAUAUUUCUCAUUUCAGCAAAUAAUCUUAUUACUUUUGAAAACUCUCCAAGAAUUUUAAUAAUUUUCAAGCUAUAAGCUUAUACAAUAUAAGGAUUAUCAAUAAGUUUCCUAGAAAGUUUUAUAUUUUGAAUCCUUAAAUAAGUUUUCAUACAAAUUUUGUCGGAGUGAUAAUAUUCAACAUUUUAUGUGUGACAUGCAUCUUCAAGUGUCUGGACUGCAAAUCAAAUAAGUUUUCACUUACCAAGAUGCAUCCUUUCAUGUCACUUAAUAAAUGUUUCUAUGUCAGCAUGCUUAAAUUAAUGUAGAAUUAAGAUCCUCGUAAUCUUUCACAAUAUUGCGUCAAUAUUGUGUCAAAGAUAUUGAUGAUGUAUCAUUUAGUAUCGGUUCACAAUGCGACAUAACAUUUUGAGAUCUCAUCACUUCAUUAUUUUCAGGUACAUGAACAUCUCAUAAGGUUUCAUGAAGUGUUAUGUCAUAGGCUCUUCAAGAGUUCAUUGCCUUCUUAUUAUAAUUAUUUGCUCCUUAUUUUUCAAGAAUUAUUUCAUUUGAAAUCGAUUAGUCUAUCACAUUUCACGCAUACAUAGACUUUGUCCUUUAAGAACACAAAAUAAGAGCACUUGCGCUUAAUAUGAGAUGCUUUCGACAUUUGACUUGAAUUAUCUUUUGAAUGAGGAUUUGAUGAUAAUUCCUAACAUACUUCAUAGCUGCUUAUAAUCUCCCCCUUAUGCUAGGAAAGCUAACAUACAUCCUCCAUUUUCUUUGAUGCAUCUAUCUUUGUGCAUCAUGGUACAUUCAUUAAUCGUAUAUCGCACAUCAAAACUAUUAGAUAGAAUAGUUGGUUCAUGACCUUGAACCAAUUGAGGGGAAGAAAUAAUCAUAAUUUAUUGGUCUAAUGCAUACAAGUGUUAUUGUAUGCAACAUGUCAUAUUUCAGAUCAACACAUGAAGCUUUGUUCUCAUUAGCGAUGGUUUAGCUAUUUAUCGAAGGCAUUCAAUGCCAAACCAUCAUCAUCAAGAUAACUUUCUUGAUUGCACAAUAUGAAAAUUAUGUUCCUUAACUCAAUUUGUUGAGCAAACAACUUUAUGAAUGUCAAACUGCAGGUUGACAAUGAAUGUACAUGUGAUCAUCUUAUUGAUGCAUCAUUUUAACAUAUCACAUGAUAGAUGAACGGGCUCUUAUUCGCCUUUUAAAAUUUCCAAAUUUGAAGGGAUCCAAUCCCAAUAUUAGUUAGUCCAACCAACUUAUCAUGAGAACAAACGACAUAAACAAUUUUUGAAGAAUCUUCUAGUUCUUCAAUAAAUGCACAUCUUUGAGAUGUCACAAUCGUUCAUAUCAAUUCAUGAACUUUUAUUCUAGUAAACUCCAAGUUUACCAUGACAUGUACUUUUUCUUUAGUAAAUUUCAGAUUUACUAUUACAUGAAUAAAUUUUAAAUUUAGUACAUCAGAAGUAGAUUUCAAAAUUAUUCAACCUCUUUCGGAGGUGAGUUGUGAUACAAUCACAAUCAAGUUCACAUUUGCAUUAAUAAGUUUCUCAUUCCCUAUAAAUGGAAUAUAAUCGUGCCUUAAGCCUAUCAAAUUAUGAUAGCUUAUAACCUCUUUCAAGAUUUUGCUACUUCAAAAACAAACCGAGGCAUACAUAUGAUGUAGAGAAUUUUUCUCUAGCAUAUCUUAUAAUCAUAUAAGCGUGUGAAAAUAUUUGAUGAUCAUUAUUAUAUUCGUGCAUUCAAUCACUUAUCUUCUUUCAGACAUAUUAUGCACUGCUACCACAUACACCUCAAGAAUGAAGUAAGUUGUCAUAUUUCAAACUCAUCAUAUAUUGCUACCACAUUCACUUCAUGGAAUGGAGCAUAUUCAAUGGGUCGAAUUUCAUAACUUUUCACCCAAUACCCAUUAUUUUGUCUUAGCCAUCACAAUAUCAUCAAGGGAAAAGGCAUCGUUUCUACCCCAAACUAUACCCGAAAAGUCGAAGCCACGCCUAAACUAUACUAGUGACCUAUUACACACCUAAACUAUAAAAAAGUGAAACCAUUUACACCCUGUCAGGCUACCACCACUUGCAUGUGGUGUAGUGUUUUACACGCGCUGCCACGUCAGCACUACGUCAGUAAAAAGUAUCACUUUUUUAUAGUUAAGGUGUGUAAUAGGUCACUUAUAUAGUUUAGGUGUGGAUUCGACUUUUCAACUAUAGUUUGGGGUGGAAACAAUGACUUUUCCCAUAAUGUUUUUAGUCGUUUACUUUUGUUAUUUAAUAGGCUGGACGCGCCUAAAAUAAGUGUAAUACACGCCUUAUAAUGGGGGUUGCGGGGAGGUAAUAAUAUUUAUUUUUUAUAGUUAAGGUGUUUAAUAGGUCACUAGUAUAGUUUAGGUGUGACUUAGACUUUUCGGGUAUAGUUUAGGGUGAAAAUGAUGCCUUUUCCCUAUCAUCAAUAUGGUGUAUUGAGAUUCAAACUCAAUAUUUUAUCCAUAUAAAGGCGUCUUAGGCAUAAAUCAAUGGAACUUGAACCCAAAUAUUACUAUCCCUUUUGAUAAUAUUCUUCUUGAGGAAUGAAUUUAAAACAUAAAUGGUUCCAAACUAAUUAUUUUUCCUCAAAUCCAACAAUAAUUAUAUCAUUAAUAGAAAAAUACGAAUAACAUAAGGAAUUACUAACCUUGACCUUUAGAUUUAUAAUCUCACCUUAUUGGACAGAGUCUCGUGCUGAUAACGUAUUAUGAAAUAAGAAAGAAUAAAGAAGAAGAGUAGAGAGAAUAGAGAGAGUGGUUCUUAUUUCUUCUCUUGAGGGAUGAGAGAUCAUCAGGUUGUAAAUACAAUGAACAAACCCCCUCUAUUUAUAGGGGAAAUUUACUCAUAGUCUAAGUAAAAGACGGAUGCUUCAAAUCCUAAUAGAUAUCAAAGUAGAUCUUGAUAGAUCUUGAUAGACAUUCACUAUAAUGUAAAUACAUUUAUAACAAAAUCACUUUUCAAAGAUCCAUUGCAUUUUAAUACGAUAAUGUAAACAUAAAUAAAUAUUUUAGUAUAAGCAUAUGUAUAUUUUACCACCACAAGUUCCAAAUGAUUGAUGGAUAUCACUUUUACGUUUGUAAAUUGAUCAUAAAUUCAGCCUUAUUCGUUUUGCAUUUGUUCUAGAACCUAGACUAAAGCCUCAUUUGUAAUUAUUAAUAUUCAGACAUCAAAAUUCUAAAUACAUAUCUGAAUAUUAUGUUUCAUUAACUGUUGAAUGAACCCUCGAUCACCUGUGGUACCCAAUAUUGAACAAAUGACGCUCAUCUUGAUUGUGCUCUUCAAAAUCAUUAAUUUUAUCAUUGAUGCCAUGACGUCCCUUGAUGUCUCGUUCAAUGUGUACGUCAAACAUCUGCUCCCCUUCCUAUGCAUUGUUCAAACAUGCAUUUAAAGUGUAUUAAAUACGUGUAAUGCAAAACUAAACAUUCAUAUAAUGCAAUCGCAAAAACUAAAGGAAAAUGUCAGAAACAUAAAACUAAAAAGUUACCUUCAAAUUCAGAUUUUCAGGCUGCCUCCAGACAACAACUUAAUUUCAUUUAAUAUUUUCUCAAAAUAUAUGGUUAUAACAUUCUUCAUAGCUAAAAAUAAAUCAUCAACCUAACUAACUAACAACAAUAUCAACAUACUCAGUUUGGUCCCAUGGGGCAAAGAAGUUGUUUUUAAUAAACCAUUGGCUCAAGUAGAACAUAUUGAAAUCAAGUAUCCAAGAAGCAAAAGUUUGUAUUUUUACUGCAGAAAGUUGUGGAGCGAAGAAAAGGGAGGUCUCUAUUUAGCAAAGAUGAACAUGAAUGUGUACAUUAUUAUAGUUGGUUCUGCAACACCUAGGAUCAACAAAGGUUGAACCAAUGAUGGAGUGUAUAAUUCCAAAAAAAUUGCAGUGAAUGCUAAUUUUUACGGCAGGUAGAAUUUAAUCUGUAGGUGUUAUAAGAAUUUCAUACACAUUAAACAAUUUAUGAAUUUCUAGGUCCAAAGAUAAUUGAAACAAAUUCACCUUGCAUCUUUCAAUGAUCAUAAACUUAUGUAGCAAUAAACAACUAAGACAUAAACUAUCAGAAAAUUCAUGUUAUCUUACAACUCCACAUAAUAAUACAUAGAAUUUCAUCCAAACUCUUUCUAAAAUAUACUAAUGAAUAAUGAAUGAAAAGAAAGUACCUCAAAGUUUACAUAAUCUUCUAAUGCCUUUGUCCAAUUGAAAUAACCCCAAUGUAUUUUUGUUUGAAGACGCUACUUCUAUUGAUUUUUUAUAAAAUCUAUACUGCAAACUAAAAAUACUAACAAUUCUCACUUUUGCGCUAUUAAUAUGUAGAGAAAUACAUGUCCAAAACAAAUAGACAUAACAUAUCCGAGCGGCAUAAAUGGCUAACCAAUACAUGGUACAUGCACAACUAUGCAAGCAAAGCAAAAAAUAGAAUGAGGAUCUUUGUUCGUCAUUCCCGUCUACACACAAAAACAUACAAUCAAUUAAACAUGAUACACAACUAUUCAAGCAAAACACAAUAUAGAUUUAUAAAAUUGAAUCAGAAUUUAUUCAAUCAUUAAGAGAUACUCCUCAUUUAUAAUCAAAUAAUGAGUCCUACUACGUUUGUGAAAUUUUAUUUGGUCCAUCCUUAAUUUAUAAAAGUCGAAAAUCUCUAUAGAAAGAAUUUACCUAAAUAUGAUAGAUUUUUCUUCUUUUUUUGAAAGAAAAAAAGCAAAAAAUAUUUCUGGUAAUUUUCUUUAUUUACUUAAAUUUUAAGAUAUUAACAUAGUACUUCAAGAUUUCUACUAUGACAUUAGUAGUUGGGUCUACUGGAUUUGAAAAAAAAACAAAAAAAACAUGAACCUAAAAACAAAUCCUUCACUUCUAAACCUAACAUUAAUAUCGUUCUAAAAAUGCCACCGACCCCUAAAUUUUACUUAAAAUAAAACUGUAACAUUUAUGACAUUAUUUGAAUUUCAAUUAUUAUACUUGAUAAUUAAAAGAUAAUUAUUUAAGAAAAUUAGUAUAAAGAUGAUUUUAUCUAUUACAGAAUUUUUUAAUGAAGGGCAAAAAGUUCAAAUCACCUUUUUAAAAGUUCACAUUUUUUAUAUAUUAUGAAUAUAGAUUAUUAAUUACUUUCAUAAUAUAAAUUUCCAAAAUAUAUGGAACUCUUUCCGUUAUUUUGUCAUGUAUAACAUUAAUAUUAAUCAUUAUUUGUUACGAAUGUAUUUACAUUAUUGUGAAUGUCUAUUAGGAAUAUAGAUAAAAUCUAUCAAGAUCUAAUUGAUAUCUAUCAAGAUUUGAAGUAUCUGUCUUUUAGUGAGAUACUAAUAUCUAUCCUUUAGUGAGAUAGUAGGAGUAAAUUUUUCCAUAGAGGGAUUUUAUUCAUUGUAAAUUAUUCUCAAAAAUCUCAUCUCAAAUAAAGAAGUCUCCCCUCUUCUCUCUCUAUUUAUCUAUUUAUCUACUCUUUUUCUUUAUUCUUUGUUAUUUCAAACACGUUAUCAACAUUUUUUGUUAUUUCAUAACACGUUAUCAGUAUUCUUUGUUAUUUCAUAACACAUUAUCAGCACGAUACUCUACUAUAUUGAGUAUAUGCUUUAAAAUAUUGAAGCAGUUUGAAACUUCAAUCAUCAGCCGAAUCAAGGUGAAAUUAUAAUUGUCAAAAUAAUCUCAAGGUGAGUAUGGAAUUUGAUAUAAUCAAAUUCAAUUUACACCAAAUAUAUAAUUGUUAUAAACUCUUAGAUUUUGGUACUUUAAGUACGGUUGUGAAUCUCUAUGUAACAUUGAGUAGCAGGUAUGUUUAAGGUUGUAAUUAAUUUUGAAAUUUACUUUCUCACAAAAAAAAAAAAGAAAUUGCUCUACAGUAAAUUACCUUAAGAGUAAUUACUUUUUUAUAAUUAGUAUUACGUUCUUGCAUGUUAAUAUUGAAUUUAAGAAAUACAAGUGGAGCCACUGAAAUAUGUGCUUGAUUAUCAUAUUGUAUCCCUAGAAUAUGAUAUAAAGGAUCCUAUAUUAAUUUUAUUUAUAUGUGAAUAGCAUGUAUUUGCUAACUAGAUCUAAAAUUUUAUGGCUGUGAUUUUAUUUUUAUGUAGUAUUAUAUCCAUUAUCAUUAGAUAAAUAUCAUAAAGAUCAAAUUUGUAUAUGCCUAAAAUAAUCACAGAGUAGUGAUAUUAUUAUAGGCUCAAAUUUAUAUUUUAUUAUACGUUAUUAUUUAUGUUAUUGGUUGAAGAAAAGAUGAUUGAUUCAAAUCCUAAAAUACCAAAAGAAUAAGAUAUUGGAUUAGAGUUCCAAUGCAACAUGAUAAAAUAUUGGGUUCAAAUCUAAUCGAUGUACGUCUAAGACGCCUUUAUAUGAAUAAGACGUUGUGUUUAAAUCUCAAUGCACCAUAUUGAUGAUAUCAUGAUGGCUAAGGCAAAAUAAUGCGUAUUUCAUGAAAAGUGAUGAAACAUGUCCUAUUGAAAUAUGUUCCAUUCCUGAAAUGAAUGUGGUAGCAGUGCAUAACAUGUCUGAAUGAACACAAGUGGUUGAAUAGAUGCACAUAAACGUGGAAAGGGACAAAAUAAUAAUAUUUUUCACAUGUUUGCAUGCCUUGAUCUUAAAAGAGACUAUAAGCUAUCAUAAUUUGAUAGACUUAAGACACGAUUAUAUUCCAAACCUGGAGAAUGAGAAUCUUAUUAAUGCAAACGUGCAUUUUAUUGUGAUGGUAUCAUAACUCACCUCCGAAUGAGGCAUAAUAACUGAGAAGUGUAAUAGUAAAUUUGAAAAAUUUACUAAAGAAAAAAUACAUGUCAUGGUAAACUUGUGUUUACUACUGUAAAUAAGUUCAUAAGUUGAUAUGAACGAGUGUGACAUCUCGAAGAUGUGCAUAUUGAGUAUUAGACAUGUAUUGAAGAAUUAAAAGAUUCUUCAAGAAUUGUUUAUAUCUCUUGUUCUCAUGAUAAGUUGGUUAGACCAACUAAUAUUGGGAUUUGAUCCCUUAAAAUUCGAAAAGUUAAAAGGUGAAAAGGGCUCGUUCACCUAUUAUGUGAUAUGUUUUGAAAAGAUGCAUCAAUAAGAUGAUCAUAUGUAUAUUUAUUGUGAACCUGCAGUUUGACAUUCAUAAAGUUGUUUACUUAAUGAAAUUGAGUUAAGAGCAUUAUUUUCUGACUGUGCAAUCAAGACAAUCCAUCUUGAUGAAAAUGGGUUGGCAUUUAAUGUCUUCAAUAAAUAGUUAAACCAUUGUUAAUGAGAACAAAACUUCAUGUUGUUGGUCUGAAAUAUGAUUAGGACUUAUAUGCAUUAGACCAAUAAAUUAUGAUUAUUUCCUUCCUCUCAAUUGGUUCAAGGUCAGGAACCAACUAUUCUAUCUACUAGUUUUGAUAUGCGGUAUACAAUUAAUAAAUAUACCAUGAUACAUAAAAAUAGAUUCCUCAAAGAAGAUGGAGGAUGUAUGUUAGUUUUCCUAACAUGACGGGGGAGAUUAUAAGCAGCUCUGAAAUAUGCUAGGAAUUAUCAUCAGAUCCACAUUCAAAAGAUAAUUCAAGUCAUAUGUCGAAAACAUUUACUGACUCAAAUUUAAUCUCAUAUCUAAGCUGCAAGUGCUCCUAUUUUGUGUUCAUAAAGGACAAAAUCUACGCAUGUGUGAAGUGUGGUAGACCAAUCGAUUCCAAAUAAAAUAAUCCUCGAAAAGGAUAAGGAGUAAAUGGUCAUAAUAAGAAGACAAUGUGCUCUUGAAAGAGCCUAGGACAUAACACUUCAUGAAACCUUAUGAGAGGUUCAGGUACUUGAAAAUAAUGAAGUAAUGAGAUCUCAAAAUGUUAUGUCACACUGUGAACCAAUACGAAAUGAUAUAUCAUCAAUGAUAUCUUUGAUAUAAUAUUGAUGCAAUAUUGUAAAAGAUUACGAGGAUACGGAUUCUAUGUUUAUUUAAGCAUGCUGACGUAGAAACAUUUAUCAAGUGACCUAAAAUGAUGCAUUUUGGUAAGCGUAAACCUUAUUUGAUUUGCAGUCGAGACACUUGAAGAUGUCACACUUGACAUGUUGGAUAUUGUCACUCAAUAAAAAUCCAUAUGAAAAUCCCUAGAGGAUUCAAAAUGCCGAAAGCAUAUAAAGUUUAUGGGAAACUUUUUAUUAUCCUAAUAAGAGAUAAUUUGAUGAUCUGAGUAUCAGUGGAACUCUUGGAGAGUUUUCAAGGUAAUAGAAAUAUUUGCUCAAAUGAGAAAUAUGGAAAAUUGAAUACGGAUCCAUUCCGACCUCAAGAAAAGAAUGAGGAACUCCUUGGUUAUGAAGUGUCAUAUCUUAGUGCAAUUGAUGCACUAAUGUAUAUUGCAAAUACUGCAAGACUUGAUAUAACCCUUUUCAAUUAAUUUGUUAGCAAGUUUGCAGUCUUGAUCUUAUUGGUCAUGUUGAUGUUCGGUACUUAUCUGACCUAUAUAAAGUUUGGUCUCAAAUAGGCUAUGUGUUCAUAUGUGGUGGUACAACAAUGUCUUGGAGAUAUACAAAACAGUUUAUCGUAGCCACUUCAUCGAACCAUGCUGAGAUAAUAGUUAUUCAUGAAGCAAGUCGAGAAUGUGUAUGGUUGAGGCAUGAUAUAUCUUUUUUUCCUUCACUAUUUUUUUUUCCUUCACUAAAUUUUUUUUUCCACUGAAUUUUUUCUAAUAAGGUUUUAACGAGGCACAUUAUCUAUCAAUUAAACAUUCAAGGGGAGUAUUAUAAAUGUAUUUACAUUAUAGAAUAUCUAUCAAGAAUAUAGAUAAGAUUUAUCAAGAUCUAAAUGAUAUCUAUCAGGAUUUGAAUUAUCUAUCUUUUAAUGAGAUUUGAAUUAUCUGUCUUUUAGUGAGAAACUAGGAGUAAAUUUCUCCUAUAAAUAGAGGGGUUUUAUUCUCUCAUUCUCAAGAGAAAUAAAGAUGUCUCCUAUCUUUUCUCUAUAUGUAUCUACUCUUCUUCUUUAUUCUUUGUUAUUUCAUAAUACGUUAUUAGCAUUCUUUGUUAUUUCACAACUUUUAUUGUUUCCUUAACAAUGGAAAUUUGGAGCCAUUAAUUCUGAUGAUUUCUAAUAAGGAAAAGUUUUAUCAUAAAUAUAUUUUAAUUUUUAACUCUUAAAUAUUAAAAAAAAUAGUGAAAAAAUAAUUUUAUUUAAAACAAAGACUUUUAAUGGAGGAUAAAAAGUUCAAACAAUAUUUAUUAGGUCGUUCACACUUUUAAUAUAUUACUAUUAUUAUUAUUAUUAUUAUUAUUAUUAUUUGCCUGAUUACUAAGUAUUUUCUACCCUUCUACUUCAUAAAUAAUAAAUUUAUAGGUUUACAAUAUUAAUUAAAAUGCAAAAAGAAAAUCACAAAUAAUUAAAAAGAUGAAUGAAUUUAGAUAUGAUGUAAAACCCUACUACCACAUUGACCCGACCCGUUUUUCCUACCACGGGAUCGCUUAAACCCCUACCGCCAACCCAUUCUUUCUCUCUUUCAGCUUACUUUGAAGCUAAACUGUAGGCACAUUAACGUCCAUUUGUAAAAAUAUUUUAGCUUUUUACGCUGAAUAUUGGCAGCUGCAGCACAACAAUGUAAGAAUUGUUGUUUUUUUUUCUUUGUACUAAAUUUGAAUUUGAUGAUUUCCCAGAAUUAAGUUUUUUUGAGUGUCUGAUUGAUUUGUAAAUGCAAUGAAUUGAGUUUUCUUGUUCUGGUUUGUAAGGAUUAAUGUUUGGUUGGUUUAUUUAUUCAAUUUGAAUAAUACCCAGAAUGGAGUUUUGUGUAUCUAGUUUUUUUGGAAUGCGAAAAUUUUAGUUUUUUUCUUGGUGGAUUGUAGGAAUUAUUGAUUAUUGUGGUUUAAGUUUGAAUUUUUAUUACACCCAGAACUGAGUUUUGAGUUUCUGGUUGAUUUGUGAAUGCAAAGUCUUGAAUUUUCCUGUUCAGGUUGUAAGGAUUAAUGUUUGUUUUGGUUUUAUUUAUUUAUUUAUUUAUUUAUUCAAUUUGAGUAAUACCCAGAAUGGAGUUUUGUGUAUCUCGUUGUUUUGGAAUGCAAAAAUUUGAGUUUUUUCUUGGUGGGGUUGUAGGAAUUAUUGAUUAUCGUGGUUUAAGUUUGAAUUUAAAGGAUACUCAGAACUGAUUUUUGAGUUUCUGUUUGAUUUUGAUUGCAAAGAUUUUUUUUCUUUUUUUCUUUUUGGUGUUCUUGGAUAGUGUUAAAUGUUUAGUGUGUAUUUUUGUAUUGAAGGUCUCGUCUCUGUGUGAAGAAUUUGCCAAAGUAUGUAGCCGAGGACCGUCUCAGAGAAUUCUUCUCUCAGAAAGGGGAAGUCACCGACGCCAAGCUCAUGCGUACUUCGUUAAGUUUCUCUUCUCCUCUCUGCUCUACCUUUUUUUUUUUUUUUUUUAAAUAGUAAUGUGAGCUGUAGACAAACUCUGUGCCUGAGUCCAUAGUUUGUUGUACUGAUACGGGUCAAAAUGGAGGGAGCCAGCUAGAAAGCAUUCAUACAGUUAACCACAAUUAGUAAAGAACUUGUUGUUAAUGACUAAUGUACAGUAGCAUUUCAGUUUUUCAGUUUUUCAUCGGUGGUUUCAGCCAAUAAUUGAUUUUUUGACUGGUAUUCACGAAUUGCUAUUUGAUACUGUAGAGAUUUUUGGGUAUGUUCAUGAAUUUGAAAUUCAUUUGACAUCGACUGAUUGCCACUUUAAGCAGAGAUGGAAAGAGCAGGCAGUUUGGAUUUGUAGGAUUUCGAACGGAGCAAGAGGCUGAGGAAGCUAUCAAGUAUUUUGACAAGUCUUUCAUGGAUAAUAGUCGUAUUAUUUGUGAGGUAUGUUUUUUCUGCUUCAGUUACUAUGCUGUUCUGCUUGGGUGGUAUACCUAUUUAGCAGAAGACGAAAAAGCAUAUCUCUGUUCCAUAUUCCAUUAUUUUGAAAUUAGUCGAUAUAUACAUUUCAAAUUACUCCACCUGUCCUAUUUUAUGUGACAUACUUUCCUUUUUGGUUGUCCAAAAAAAAUGACAUCUUUGUAAUAAUUAGAAAUACUUUGACUUUAAUUUUUUAUUUUACUCUAUUAUAGCCUCAAAACUGGCAUGGUUUUUGUUAGACCACGAGCUCCAAAAAGAUUUCUUUCUUAAACUCCGUGUCAAGUCAAGCACCGCCAAAAUAGCUGGGACACAUAGUAUAAAAGAUGAUGCCUUUAUAAUUUUUCCAAGUAGCUAGUGAAAGUAUCCUUAUAUAAGUCCUGUUAACUUUAUUGCUUUAUUCUAAUUUACAUUGUGAAUUACUUGAAUCUUUAUUUUCAUGGGUUGUGGAUUAUUAUUUUUCUAGAGAGUAGCUAUAUAUUGGUGAUGUGCUUGAAUGAUAUGUGCGGGGGUGAGAGGUUGACUGGGGAUAGUUUCAGGAGAGGUAGAGGUAGGCUGAAGAAGUAUUAGCGGAGGUGAUUAGAGAAGAUAUGACACAGUUAAAGCUUACCGAGGAUCCGACCUUAGGUAGGAGGUUGUGGAGGAACACAACUUAGGGUAGAAGGCUAGAUAGAAGUAGAGCAUUGUCUCGCUUGUCCUCACAUAUGGUAGUCGUCGUAUUUCUCCGGUAGUUUCUUGUCCUUCAAUUUCUGUUACCAGCUACUGUCUCUUGUACUAUAAUUACCACAGUAUUUUAUUGUAGUAGCUAUUCCUUUUUCAAAAUGCUUUGCCAUGAUUUCUUCACUUUUCAUUAAUUUUUUCGAUUUGCUUUCAUAUGCUUUUUCUUGAGCCGAGGGUCUAUUGGAAACUCUCUACCUCCCAAAGUAGGGGUAAGGUCUGCAUGCACUCUAUCUUCCCUAGACCCCACUUGUGGGAUUACACUGGUUAUAUUGUUGUUUUGUUCUUGUGCUUGAAUGACACAUAAAUUCAUUUUCAUAUAGCCAGAUUGCAAGGAAAAUUGGGGAUCCAAAUAUCCCUCGUCCAUGGAGCAGGCACACUUUGAAGAAACAAGAGAAAUUGACAAAUGAGGAUGAGAAUGCAAAAGUAAACAAAAGUUCCAAGUCUGCAGGUUUAAAAGGGGACAAAAAGAAUAGUAAACAGGAGAGUAAGGAUGAGGAUCCUCAGCUUCAAGAGUUCCUUGAAGUUAUGCAGCCUCGGAGUAAGUCAAAGUUGUGGGCAAAUGAUACACUAGCAGCUCCAUCUCUUGCUCAAAGUAAAAAGGAUGGCCAUAAGCAAUCCCAGGCAAAAGAGACUAACCGGGAAAAAUUGGCUACUGAUAACUCUGAGUUAGAUGAGGUUAUUAAAAAAGAGGAAUCUCUGUCAGUUAAUGAAAAUUCUGAGAAACCUGACAGCUUCCAUAAUGAUGAAGUUAUGACCGAUACAGAUUAUUUCAAAAGUAGAGUGAGGAAAGAUUGGUCAGACUCAAAAAGUAGUGAAGACGAUGGUAGUGAUAAUGAAAGUGACACUGAAAGUGGCAAGAGCAAUGAAGAUGCAAAUACUGGUAAUAUCCUCAAACCUGAUGAUACAGAGGAAGUUUUGACUGAUGGGUUCACCAGAUCUAACAAUAAAUCGCUUGAGCCUGCUGACCCUUCAUCAAGUGUUAUGGAUGAAAAAGAAGAAGAUCUGGAGAGUGGACGAUUAUUUGUUCGUAAUCUUCCUUACACCACGACGUAAUACAUCUUUGUUCUUCUUUUUUCCUUUAUCCUUUUUUUUUCUGGGUGAUUUAGUUAACUCGAUAUGUUGACUUCAACAAACCUAAUGUAUGUUCUUGCCAAACAAAUGGUUUUAUGACUCAGGGAAGAGGAGCUGGAAGAACAUUUUAGAGCAUUUGGCAAUGUCUCACAGGUUCAUAUUGUUGUUGACAAAGAUACAAAGCGGUCCAAAGGAUUUGCAUAUGUUCUCUAUGCAUUACCAGAAUCUGCUGCUAGGUACCUGUCAAUCAGCAUCCAAAUUCUAAGCUACUGCACUUUUUACCUGCAAGAAGCACACUGAUAUCCGUGUUAUAAAUUCUGAGUCCCUUGUAUACGUAUGUAUGUGUCUAUUUUUCAUGUUCCAGUGCUUCCUUGCAUUGCUUUUUGAUUGUUUCUUCCAGGGCAUUAGCGGAGCUGGACAGUUCAAUUUUUCAAGGACGAUUACUUCAUGUCAUGCCAGCUAAGCAGAAAAUUUCUCCAGAGAAGAUAGAGUAAGUGUUGUUUUACCACGCUUUUCAAUGUUCAUAUCCAUUAGAUUGUUUGCUUAUGCAUAUAUGUCGAGAGAAGCUCUCCUUUUUCUUUUUAAUAAUGUGGGAUCUACCUUGCUAUUAUAAGAUUGGUUCAUUUAUUACUCUGUAGGACAGUUGAUAAUACCAAGCAAUUUUCAAAAACAUUUAAGCAGCAGAGACUACAGGAAAAGAAGGCAUCUGAAGCUAGUGGAAAUACACAAUCUUGGAAUACUCUUUUCAUGCGGCCAGACACCGUAUGUACACUAUCGAAUGUUAUAAUUUAGAAUAUUUUUUCUUACUAUUAUGAGGGUUGGUUCUGUCAUUUUAGAAUUUUAAUCUAUGUUUUGCUAAGACACACAUUCUUAUCCACAUUCUGCGCCACAUAAAAUAAUACAGAAAUUUAUGCAUAAACUCUACAUGGAUUAUUUAUGAGGAAAACGAUAACUAACAUCUGAACAUUGUACAAUUUAAUAUGGAUUUUUAUGUGAAGCUUAAAUUUCCUCAAUCCCAACCAAACAUGGUACAAAUUAACUUUGGGAUUUUUUCUUCCGGGGGGUGGGGGUGGGGGUGGCUUUGUACAUCAACUUUUACAGCCCCUUGAUGCUUGCUGUAAUAGACUGGGUUUAUCUUUUUUUACAUUUGAUCUGAUUUGAGUUAUUUUUGUUCCUAUAUUAUGCUUCUUGUAAGAUGAUUUGGUUGUUCAAAUCUUUGUAGCUAUCCUAACUUGUAUAAUCAGUUUUUGAAAUGCUUCAGGAUCUUUAAUUACUGCCCGUUUGGGUUGAGUAUGCAUUCUACUGUGUCAGCGUUUGGACUUGUUCUUGAAAGUAAAAAUGAGCUCCUUCUGUUCUUUGAAAUUUUUUAGGUUGUCGAGAAUAUUGCAAGAAAAUUUGGUGUUAGUAAAAGUGUUCUUCUUGAUAGAGAAGCUGAUGAUCUUGCCGUACGUAUAGCAUUGGGUGAGACUCAAGUGAUAGCAGAGACGAAAAAGGCUCUUGCAAAAGCUGGGGUUAAUAUUGCUUCACUGGAAGACUACGCUGCUGGAAAAACUGAUGGAGUGAAACGAAGCAAUCACGUUAUUCUAGUUAAGAACUUGCCCUAUGGUUCGUCAGAAGGUGAACUUGCGAAUAUGUUUGGGAAGUUCGGGAGUCUGGAUAAGAUUAUUCUUCCUCCCACCCAAACCUUAGCUUUGGUUUGUGCUUUUAUCUUUGAAGCCUUUGGUUUGAAAUGACUAUUCUUGUAACUAUAAUUGUUCUUUAUGUGCUUUGUGACUUUUCCGUACAAUAGGGUGUUCUGAUUUGAUACUAAUAGACCAAGUUUCUGUUUGUGUAAAUAGACAUGAAUUAGUUGGAAAUAACAAGAUUGUUUGCUGCUUCUGUGAUUAUUACAAUCAGGUUGUCUUCCUAGAACCGGCAGAAGCACGCACAGCUUUUCGGGGCCUAGCAUACAAACGUUACAAGUAAGUGUAUAUAUCCGUUUCUUGCUUUUGAUACAGCGGUGAUUUUUGUAGUUGAACAAGUAGCUGUAUAUGUAAAGACAAUUUCAUGUCAUGACUGAUAACUAAGCAAGAUUGGAAUAGCUUUAGAAUUGGGAUAACACAUAAAUACUCUCCUCAACUUAUUGUGAAUAUUCAUCUAUACUUUUUAACUUUGCUAGUGCCCUAUUACACCCAACCCCCAAGGGGCCUUUUUGAAGUUGAGUAACUACCAGAUUUGUGUUGGGUGUUGAAAUAACACCACUUACUCCAUAUACUUUGAAGUUGAGUAACUUUGCUAGUGCACUCACCACUUAAUUUUUGUUCACCUUUUUUUUCCAUAUACUUUGGUUAUUUCUUCCUCCACCUUUGUUCAAAUGCAUUAAGCGGACUCUCCCCCAAUCUAAACUUUGCGCCUUCCUCUCACUCCUACUCCAAUAAUUCCUUGUCAAUGAUUAGUGAUGUCGCCCUGUAUUCUCGAAACAAGGUGCAUUUUAUGUUACCUCGGAUCCUGUUAGUGAGAGAAGACUCAAAAUUAGAGGGAAGCCAUGGAAAGAGAAGGGAAUUCCAUUUUUUUUUACUUUGCUUUAGAGAAUUGAGAAACCUUCCAAUUUUUUAUUUUGCAAGAUUGAGGUUUCUCCUAGCUUGCUUUGUUCUUUCUAGCACAUAUCAGUUUUGCUGCAUCUCAUAUGCAAUAUAUUUUGAUUCAGUCUUGAAAGUUUGGAAUUAUGAAGUAAAUUUUGUCCCUUUGUCCUGAUGCAGAGACACUCCCCUUUAUUUGGAGUGGGCUCCUGGGAAUAUUCUUGAUCAAACGAGUGAUUCCAAAAAUGAUUUUAUUGUUGGUGAAGAUGAUGUAAAGAGAGUGCUCCUGGAGCAACAAGUGGAAGGAAUAGCAGAUCCAGAUGUUGAUCCUGAUAGAGUGGAGGUAUAUAAACUGUAAAACCCAUGUUUCCCAUCUUUAUAUAGAAUGUACUUUGGUGCUAAGUCCCUACUGUUGUAUGAGUCUACUUGCGAGCUGUUUAUAUCUACCUGUAUUGUAUAGACUAAUACCUAGCUAAGUUUGUCCUCGUCAAUCUUUGCUUGUGGAUUAUUUUUCUGUUCAUCUCCAUUUGCCAGCAACCGCAAAUGAAGCUUUGUUGAGGUUGGCACUUCCAUUUGAUCAAUAGUCUAUUAUUAUAUGCACUUCUGUCGCCCUGACAUGUGUCCCACCAUAUGACACAAAGUUUCACUUUAUGAAUGCCAUUUUAGGAGUCUGUCAUGUUGGUACAUUUACUUUAGGUUCAAUGUUUGUUAGGUACAUUUACUUUAGGUUCAAUGUUUGUUAGGAGUCUUUUAGUUUCGAUACAGAUGCUAGUAGAAAAUGUAAAGAAUCUCUAGUGCUAGAGAAACCAGAUCAAAAUCGUAGAGAGACGAGCUUGAGUGGAGUGGCAUCUAGCAUGUGUUGAGGACUCAUACAACUGACCCAACUAGCAUGAGGUUGAGGCGUACUUUUUGUUUUUGUCGAACACAAAAAUGUGGAAGAUAUUACAAAUUUAAGUGGUUUUGUUUUUGUUGAACACAAAAUGUGGAAGAUAUUACACAAAAUGAGGAGUGGCAUCUAGCAUGUGUUGAGGACUCAUACAACUGACCCAACUAGCAUGAGAUUGAGGCGUACUUUUUGUUUUUGUCGAACACAAAAAUGUGGAAGAUAUUACAAAUUUAAGUGGUUUUGCUUUUAUUGAACACAGAAUGUGGAAGAUAUUACAAAUUCUUAAACGAACUCUUACAUUUGAUUGAUACUGGUAACGUACUGGUAUAUAUAAAGUCACAUUUUCAGAGAAAUGAAGAAACCCGGCUAUGCAAAAAUCAAAUUUACAGACAGCCUAUCAAAUCGAUUAGAGAAUCUGUUUCCUCUAGUAGUAUGUAAGACUUUUUUGAGAAUUUCUACUAGUAUGUAAGACUCAAACUUAAGUCUACAUAUUUAUUCAAGUUUUUAGUUUGCUGGAAAUUAACUGUGGCCUGCAUAUGAUAGGUCCCCAGAAAAUCAGAAAUAAAUAAUUCUCAAAUAUGAACUGUACUCUUGUUGUUGUUGUUGUUGUUGUUGAACUGUACUCUUGGUAGCAGCAGACUAUUGAAUACACAUGGUCACAUGACAUGCUGGUUCAGCUGCUCCACUAUUGCCAAAAAAUCAUGCUACCUGUACCAAAAACCAAAAGAAUUCAGUUAUUGGAAAUAAGUAUAUAGUGAAGAACAUUGCAGUUAUAGAAAUUCCUUGUUACUUCUUUGUUUGUUCUUAUAACUGCCUUGAUUUCUCAGGUUUGUUUCUUGUUUCAUUAACCAAUUGAUAUUCUUGUUGUCACCUUUCCAGUCACGAUCACUGUAUGUCAAGAACCUAAAUUUCAAGACAUCAGAUGAGAGUUUAAAGAAACAUUUCACUGAUCACAUAAAGGAUGGGCGAAUAUUAAGUGUGAGGGUAAGUUCUUGUGGCUCUUUUUUAUGCUGAGACGCCAAGUAUUUAGCAUAGUAUUUCCUUUGUGCUACAUGAAAAAAUAACUAGUCUUCCUCCAACACCUGUUAAUAUUAUUCUGUGAAGGUGAAAAAGCAUGUAAAGAAUGGAAAAACUGUCUCGAUGGGUUUUGGAUUCAUUGAGUUUGAUUCUGCUGAUACAGCAAUCAAUGUUUGUAAGGAUUUGCAGGUAAUCAGUCUGAUUUUUGUUUUAACAUUUUGUCCAUACAUUCGGGCUCCUACAAAUAGCGUUUCAUCUUCCCCUCUUCUUGUCAUUCAGGGAACUGUUUUGGAUGGGCAUGCACUUAUAAUGCAACUUUGCCACACUAAGAAGGAUGAUCAACUACCAAAGAAAGCUGAGAAUGAUAAGAGUUCGACUAAGUUGCUUGUUAGGAAUGUUGCUUUUGAGGCAACUGAAAAGGAUCUCAGGCAACUAUUCAGUCCAUUUGGGCAGGUACUUCCUCUGAAGUGUUGUUAAUGUAGGGUGAUACUAAGUAGUAGAAAAUAAUACUAGGUUUUCCUGUGUUGGGAAGUGGCAAAGCUAGAAGUUAAUUGAGGAUAAGUAUGUCUGUGGGCACGAGGAUGCAUUAUAUCCUGUGCAUUUCCAUUGAGUCCAUAUGAGAGACAUUUAUCCAUAUGUAAGUGGGCAUGUAGAAUUCUCUCCGAUUUGUAAUGCUUUUGUUCAAAAUUCCAGGUCUAGUGGAAUGUGUCAUGAAAUUUAUUAGUGUGAAAAAUGUUGAUAUAGACAAAAUGAUGCGUGGUAAUUGGCAGAUGAUCUAGCCACUAGAAGCUAGGGCUAGAAAAAAAAAAAAACAUUAUGAUGGUUACUUGAAAGUCUGACAUAUAUGUUAUUUUUGACCUGCAUUCAUCAUGUUUCACAUAGCGACUUAUUUCAAUGUCCUUUCCGUUGACCUCAAAAUUAAAUUCAUCCUACAGAUUAAGAGUUUAAGGCUGCCAAUGAGGUUUGGGAACCAUAGAGGAUUUGCAUUUGUAGAGUUCGUCACUAAACAAGAGGCAAAGAAUGCCAUGGAAGCUCUAUCCAAUUCUCACUUGUAUGGGCGCCAUUUGGUAUGUGAUCUUGCAAUUCUCAUAGUAUAUAUCUACUACCUAAAUAUCACCAAGUAAUAUGUUGUGGUGCAUGUUACAUCUCAGGUUCUUGAGAGAGCCAAGGAAGGUGAGAGCUUAGAGGAAUUACGCGCUCGCACAGCUGCUCAGUUUAGUACUGAGCAAAAUGGGUUUCAAACUACUAAAUUAUCAAAGAAGAGAAAACAAAUGGCUAUAUUGGAUGAAGGGAGUUUUAAAUUCGAGCGAAUUGCUGAUUAAAUACUUCACAACUCCCUUCAAAUCCCCAAUUCACUUGUCCUGUAUAGGUUAAAGCUACUAAUUCUGCAGUAUUUAUAGCCCAAUAGUACUAAGAUGAGAGCUUGUUUAAUCAAUUUUGUUCAUUAAUGUAAUGUCUUGACAUCCUCUUCGGUUUGUAUUGUAGAUCAUGAAAAGUUUGCUGUCAGUUUGUGACAAAAAAAUAUCAAAGUAGUAGGUAAACAAAGUUUGAUCCUUUGGGAUGUUUCUUAUGGAUUACUUUAAUAAUGAAGAUAGCAUUCUUGUCACAGGGGGGUAAUGUAGAAAUGCUAUUUCUUAUCCACCAUAACCAAAAGAAAAAACUUAAAUCAUCUCGAGUUUAGAAGGUGAAUUUCUUGGUUAGAAAAAGAAGGGCAACAAAGGGUCGAUUUAAAAGGAAAAAAAAAAAACAGAGUGGCCAGUGUGAAAACAUGGACAAUUUUUUAAUUUGAGUCAAAAAAAUUUCCUGCAUUAUUAGAAUGACAAAGAAAAUAAGAAAAAAAAGUGGAAGGAAAUGAAGGAGGACGGCAAACAGGCGUUGACGUCCUAGUUUUAAAUACUUACAUAAAUUUUAAGUGAUAUAUCUCAAAGAAUGUGAUGUAUUCUUGUUGAAUUUUUUAGAAUUUUAAAAGACGUUGGAAUAGGAAGUAAUUAACAUCAAAAGAAUUGAGAUUUGCGUAACUUUUACAUUAUUUAUUCUGCUCUAGAAAAGUGCAAGGAAAUGAAGGAAAAUUUAGCGUCUUUAGAAAAUUCUCCAUCUUUAGCAAAAUAAGAACAAAAAUUUGCGUACAUUUUAUCUUUUCUAAAUUUCAUCUAUACGUGUUGACAGUUUGAUAACAUUUUCUUUUCUUGUUAAAAUAGUUCCUUCUUUUGGUCGUGACAUGCGCAAUUGGAAAAGAAAAAAGAAUCAAGUAAAUUGGUAAUAACGACAUUGCAGAAAUUUACCUCAAAAAAAAAAAAAAUUAUUGUCCCCUUUAAACUAUAUAUCAUCGAUCACUAUCAUUAUUCAUCAUUAUAUAAUCACCAAUCAGCACUAUAUAUUAUAAACUAUCGUCAUCAUUCACCAUCACUAUAAGCUAUUACUAUCAUCCACCACAACUAUCAGUCAUUGUGACAAGGAGUAACCAUCAAUCACUACUCUCACAACUAUCAUCACCAAUAGCUACACCCUUAACACCACUAUUUGCCAAUAUAUCUUCAAUCGACACCCACAAUCACUAUCGCUAGCCAUCACUAUCAUCAACAGUCAUAUAAUGUUUAUAGUAAAUUAAUUUAAUUUUUUUUAUUAAAUUUUACUUUAUAAUAGAAGCGGCAAUCUUGACCAUUUUAGAGUCGUCCUGGCUGCUUCAGCUGCUUCAAGCGUAAUUUUACUAUAUCACCCCUAAUUAAUUAUUAUAAAUUAUUUCAUUUAAGUAUUAUAAUAUUAAUAAUAUUUAAUAAAAGAAUAGUUUUCAAAAUGACUACUAAAUUCCUCAAAGUUCCAUUUAUUAUUAUUCGAGAAUUUUUUUUAGCUGUUUCAAUCGUAAUUUUAAUGUAUCACCUCUAAUUAAUUAUUAUAAGCCAUUUACGUAUUAAAAAUUAAUAAUAUUUAAUAUAAAAAUAAAACAAACAUUUUUUACAUGUCUGCUUCAGUUGGUUCGACAUAAUUUUACUAUAUCACCUCUAAUUACUCAUUAUGAGUCAUCUAAGUAUUAAAAAAUAAUGUUAAAAAAUUAUUAUAAAAUCAUCUAAGUUUUAAAAAACUAAUAAUAUAAAAAAAUAUUAAUCUGCCAAAUAUUUUUCAAAAAUAGGUAAGAAAUACUAUACAUCACAAUAAUUAGCAACUAGAAAGUUUAGAGUCAAUUUACUUUCUUUGGCACAUCUUCAUUGGUCCUUUCCUUUGCCUUCAUUUUUUCAUCUAUUUUAAUUUGUUAUAUAUUUUUUAAAAAAAAACUUGUAAAUCACAAUAAUUAAUAAAUUAAAAAUUAAAAACAUAUAAAUAUUUGACUGACUUUCAAAAUUAUAUCAUUGCUACUUAAAUUGGAAUAGAAGAAAAAAUACUAUAGAUCACAGUAAUUAAAAACUUAAAUUAUUUAUAAAAUAUAAUUGACUAUCAAUAGUACAAAAUUUUAAACAAGGAGUGUAACAUAUAUUAUUUAAAAUUUACAUAAAACUUAUUAUAAAUUACAAUAUUUAACAAAUUAAAAUAUCUAAAAAAAAUUAUUAUAUAUUUUAAAAAAUACAUAAAAGUGCUAUAGAUCAUAAUAAUUAACAAAUUUAAGACAUAUAAAAUAUUUGAUUGACUUUUGUUCAAUUAUAAAAAAAUAAGCACUUUGAUGAAGAUUUAUAGUAUCAUUCAAGUAAAUACAGAUUAAGAUCGUAGAAACAUGAGCUAGUGAUAUAGCUACACCUAAUUCCAGACCGGUUAAUGCAAGAACUAUAAAUAAAGGACCAAGAUCCCCUAUGAAAUAUAAUUGAAUAUCAACGCCACAAAAGUUAGGACAAGGAGAGUAACAUGUAUUUUUUGAAAAUCAUAUAAAAAACAUUACAAAUUACAAUUGUUGACAAUUUAAAGUAUUUUUUUAAUUUUUUUUUAUAUAUUUUUAAAAAAUACUCAAAAAGAUACUACAAAUCAUAAUAAUUAAUAAUUUUAAAAAUUGUAAGGAUAUAAAUAUUUGGUUGACUAUAGAAAUUAUAUCAGUGCUACUUAAUUUGAAAUUAAAAAAGAUUAUAAAUCUCAAUAAUUUUAAAAGUUAAAUUAUUUUUAAAGUAUAAUUGGCUAUCGAUGCUACAAAAGUUUGAAUAAGGAGAGUAACAUGUAUUAUUUAAAAAUUACAUAAAAAAAUAUUAUAAAUUACGAUAAUUAACAAUUUAGAAUAUUCAAAGCAUACUAAAGAUAUGAUUGAUUAUCUAUAUUUUAUUUAUGUCACAUAAAUUGAGACUAAAAAAUAAUAUAUAUUGGGCCCGUGCCAACCUAUUUAAAUAAAUUUAUAUAUUCAAAUAUUGAAAAAUAAAUAACUUUAAUUAUUUAAUAUUCAUAUCUUAAUUACUUAGUAUUCUGGUAAAAUAUGUGUUACCACCAAACAAAUCUCAUCAUUUUGUGACUUAAUCUAUAAUAUAUUAAAAGUGUGAAGCCCGUUAAAAAGUGAUUUGAAUUUUUUAUCCUUCAUUAAAACACUAUACAAUAGACAAAAUCAUCUUUUCACUAUUUUCCUUAAUUUAUUAUUUAAUUAAAUUUUUAUUUUUUAAAGUCAAGAAAUCCUAAAUUAUACGGUAAAAGAAAAAUAUAUAGAGAAUUAAUAUUGGUAAAUUUUUUAUUUCCUUCUAUAUGUAAAAAAAGAGUCUUGAAAUAUUUGGUAGAAAAAAGAUCCUAAAAUAUAUAAUAAAGAGAAUAAGAAAAGAUUUAAUAGUAGAAAACUUUAAGUAAAAAAGAAAAAUAAAAUCUCACCUAAAGUUUUAGAAAAACCAUUAUACGUUUUCUUUUAAUGUUAUGAUUUUAAUUCCUUUAAGUAAAAAGGAAAAAUAAAAUGUCAACUAAAGUUUUAAAAAAACUAUUGUACGUUUUCUUUUAACGUUAUUAUUUUAAUUUCAAACUAUAUAUAUAUAUAUAUAUAUUUCUUUUCUAUAUAAUAGAAACACUAAUUUUGACCAAUGCUUCAUCAAUUGCUAUACUACCCCAAAUUAUUUCAGAAUUUACUAUAUUACUCCUAAUUAAUUAUUAUAAUUCAUUUAAAUAUUAGAAUUAAUAAUAUUUUUUUAUUAUAUUAUCCCUAAUUAAUUAUUGUAAGUCAUUUAUAUAUUAUAAUUAAUGAUAUUUAAUUAAAAAAUAGACAUUUAUGACUUUUGUUUCAGCUGCUUUAACUGUGAUUUUACUUUAUCAUCCCCAAUUAAUUAUUAUAAGUCAUUUAUGUAUUAAAAAAUUAAUAAUAUUUAAUUAAAAAAUUAGAUGACAUGUCUACCUAUAUUACCUCUAAUUGCCCCGUAAUUUAUUAUAUUACCCCUAAUUAAUUAUUAUAAGAAAUUUAUAUAUUAGAAUUAAUUAAUUAUUAUAAGUCAUUGAUAUAUUAAAAUUAAUAAUAUUUAAUUAAAAAAAUAUUUAUAACGUUUGUUUCAGCUCCUUUAAUCGUGAUUUUACUAUAUCAUUCUUAAUUAAUUAUUAUAUGUCAUUUAUGUAUUUAAAAAUUAAUAAUAUUUAAUUAAAAAAUAGAAGUUUAUGAUGUUUGUUUCAACAUCUUUAACCGUAAUUUUACUGUAUCAUCCCUAAUUAAUUAUUAUAAGUCAUUGAUAUAUUAAAAUUAAUAAUAUUUAAUUAAAAAAUAGAAGUUUAUGAUGUUUGUUUCAACAUCUUUAACCGUAAUUUUACUGUAUCAUCCCUAAUUAAUUAUUAUAAGUCAUUGAUAUAUUAAAAUUAAUAAUAUUUAAUUAAAAAAUAGAAGUUUAUGAUGUUUGUUUCAACAUCUUUAACCGUAAUUUUACUGUAUCAUCCCUAAUUAAUUAUUAUAAGUCAUUGAUAUAUUAAAAUUAAUAAUAUUUAAUUAAAAAAUAGAAGUUUAUGAUGUUUGUUUCAACAUCUUUAACCGUAAUUUUACUGUAUCAUCCCUAAUUAAUUAUUAUAAGUCAUUGAUAUAUUAAAAUUAAUAAUAUUUAAUUAAAAAAUAGAAGUUUAUGAUGUUUGUUUCAACAUCUUUAACCGUAAUUUUACUGUAUCAUCCCUAAUUAAUUAUUAUAAGUCAUUGAUAUAUUAAAAUUAAUAAUAUUUAAUUAAAAAAUAGAAGUUUAUGAUGUUUGUUUCAACAUCUUUAACCGUAAUUUUACUGUAUCAUCCCUAAUUAAUUAUUAUAAGUCAUUGAUAUAUUAAAAUUAAUAAUAUUUAAUUAAAAAAUAGAAGUUUAUGAUGUUUGUUUCAACAUCUUUAACCGUAAUUUUACUGUAUCAUCCCUAAUUAAUUAUUAUAAGUCAUUGAUAUAUUAAAAUUAAUAAUAUUUAAUUAAAAAAUAGAAGUUUAUGAUGUUUGUUUCAACAUCUUUAACCGUAAUUUUACUGUAUCAUCCCUAAUUAAUUAUUAUAAGUCAUUGAUAUAUUAAAAUUAAUAAUAUUUAAUUAAAAAAUAGAAGUUUAUGAUGUUUGUUUCAACAUCUUUAACCGUAAUUUUACUGUAUCAUCCCUAAUUAAUUAUUAUAAGUCAUUGAUAUAUUAAAAUUAAUAAUAUUUAAUUAAAAAAUAGAAGUUUAUGAUGUUUGUUUCAACAUCUUUAACCGUAAUUUUACUGUAUCAUCCCUAAUUAAUUAUUAUAAGUCAUUUAUAUAUUAGAAUUAAUAAUAUUUAAUUAAAAAAUAGAAGUUUAUGAUGUUUGUUUCAACAUCUUUAACCGUAAUUUUACUGUAUCAUCCCUAAUUAAUUAUUAUAAGUUAUUUAUAUAUUAAAAAUUAAUAAUAUUUAAUUAAAAAAAUCAGCUGCUUUGUCAUUUACUAUAUUAACCUAAUUGCUCGGUGAUUUAUUAUAUUACCCCUAAUUAAUUACUAUAAGUCAUUUAUUUAUUAGAAAUUAAUAAUGUUUUUUUUAUUAUAUUACCCCUAAUUAAUUAUUAUAAGUCAUUUAUAUAUUAUAUUUAAUAAUAUUUAAUUAAAAAAUAUAUAUUUAUGACAUUUAUUUCAGCUGCUUUAACCAUGAUUUCACUAUAUCAUCCCUAAUUAAUUAUUCUAAGUUAUUUAUGUAUUAAAAAAUUAAUAAUAUUUAAUUAAAAAAUAGAUGAAAUGUCUGCCUAUAUUAUCCCUAAUUGCUCCGUGAUUUACUAUAUUACCCUAAAUUAAUUAUUAUAAGUCAUUUAAAGUUAUUUAUGUAUUAAAAAAUUAAUAAUAUUUAAUUAAAAAAAUAUAUGACAUGUCUGCCUAUAUUAUCCCUAAUUGCUACGUGAUUUACUAUAUUACCCUAAAAUAAUUAUUAUAAGUCAUUUAUAUAUUAGAAUUAAUAAUAUUUAAUUAAAAAUUGAUAUUUAUGACGUUUGUUUCAGCUGCUUUAACCGUGAUUUUACUAUAUCAUCCCUAACUAAUCAUUAUAAGUCAUUUAUGUAUUAAAAAAUUAAUAAUAUUUAAUUAAAAAAAUAGAUGACAUGUCUGCUGCAGCUGCUUCAACCAUAAUUUUGCUAAAUAUCGCUUAUAAUUAAUUAUUAUGAGUCAUCUAAGUGUAAAAAAUUUAAUCAUAUUUUUUUAAAAAAAAUAGACACAAAAUGAUAAAUUAACUCUUGAUGUAUUAAAUUAAGUUGACCUCCUUCAACCGUGAUUUUACUGUAUCACCCAUAAUUAAUUAUUAUUAGUCAUUUAUGUAUUAAAAUAUUCAUAUUAUUUAAUUAAAACAUUGGUUUCGACAUGGCUGCUUCAAGAGCUGCGCCGUAAUUUUACUAUAUCACCCCUAAUUAAUUAUUAUAAGUCAUUUAUGUAUUAGAAAAUUAAUAGUAUUUAAUUAAAACAAGAAAAAUAUGUGUUUAUGACAUGUUUGUUGCAGCUGUUUCAACCAUAAUUAUCUUUGAGAAGAUGAUCCAAGACUUUGUGUUAAUUGAAGUAUCUUUUGUUCCAGUUUUUAUAUGAAAUAAUCUUAUGAAUAUUAGUUCUACAUCUUUUCUAUAUUUUGUAGCAGGUCUCAAUUUUAUCAUCAAACAAUUAAAAUAACCCGACUACACGACACAUUACACCUUUUUAUCAUGUGGAAAAAAACUAUCUUAUAAAACUUCACUCCUUAGCGAGUACCAUCAAAUAGUUAUUAUUUAAAAAAUUAUCGUUUUAAAUCAAUGUACAUUUAUGUUUGUAUCUCAUCAAUAUUGAAUAUUGGUGCUAAAAGAUGUCUAUAGUGUUGGAUCCGUGCUGACACGGGCCAUGCACCUCUUGUAUAUAUAUAUAUAUAUUAUAUUAUAAUCUAUUUAAAGUGUGAAGGGCGUUAGAAAUGUCGCUUGAACUUUUUACCCUUCAUUAAAAGUCUUUUCUUUAGAUAAAAAUCAUAUUUUGACUAUUUUUUUUAAUUAUUUAAUAGUUAAAAAUCAAUUAAAUAUAUUUAUGAUAAACCUUUAAAACUUUUUAAGAAGAUUUAAAAAGUCUAUAAAUUUACAUCUACAAUAUAUUAAAUCCAUUAACCAUUUGAAAUUUGUGAUGAUAAAAUAUACAUGUGCUUAUAAUAAAAUAUAUAUUUUAAACUUUUUACAAUUCAUUAAAAAAAUUAUCUAAUUUUAAAUAAUCAAAAGUUAAUUGCACGUGCAGCUAAACUAGUAAUUAUACAAAUUUCCAUUGACAAAGUGAGGAGUAUAUUCUUUCAAAUCCUCUAACCAAUUUACAGCGGAGUUGGUAGUCCAAAAUAUUUCAAGAAAACUUGUUUCUCUUGUCUUGUUUCCUUUUAAACCCUUUUGUCCACUCUUUACAUUUCUACUACUCAAUUCAUUUGUUCACCAUAUAUUACCUGCCUUGUCUCCAUCUUUUCUCAACUGGGUAUGCCUUCAAAUUUCACCUAAUUCUGUGCUUUCUUUAGGGUUUCUCAUUGUUUUCAUUAAAUUCAAUCAUUCUUUUCUUUGUGGAUUUACUUUUUUAAGUGUGUUCUUUAUAUGAGAUCCCAAUUCACUUUGUGGGGUUUUUAGUAUUUGAUAAUUUUACUUUACUGUAAGUGAUAUUAUUAUACUUUGUUGCUUUGUUAGAAUUACUAGCAUCAUCUGUUUUCUUUGUGGGUUUUCUUUAAUUCUGCUUAUUGUGUACUCAUUUGGAUCUUCCUUGUUACUGUUUUUUUUGGUGGAACUUAGUGUUUGGAAUUUAGAUUUGUUGUGCCCUUAAAUAAGUGGUGUUUUUAGUUUGAACACACCCUUAACCAAACUACUCAUUCCUAGAAAACAAAGAUUGUUUUUACUAACUUAUCCUUGAUAAAUACUUUGGAAAAGAUAGUACUCUUUAGUAGUUUCUUGCUUAUUUAAAACUCUUUUUAUUUAAAAGAAGUUAAAAAUGAAGGAACAACAUGAAUGUCUUCUUGAUUAUCUAAAGUACUACUUAUUUGGGAAUAAAAUCAAAAGGCUGAAAACCACUUAAUUUAGGAAUGGAGGGAGUAGGCGGACAUUGAUUAUAAAAGUUGGCGUGAAUUUCCAGGUUCAGUUUGUGAUUCUGUUAGUUUUUAGUGCUUUCUUGAUUUACUUUUGCGUUUGUUCUGAAUCUUGAUAGAGGCAAUGUCGCAAGGCUAUGCUAUUGAGCUCUACUUUGAUCCUGCACUGGAAAACCAGGUCCUGAAGGCCUGGAAUGUAUUGGCUCGGCGCCAGAUUAGCACUCAGCUUAUUGAGAUUGAGUCUAGACCUCACAUUACCCUCUUCUCGAGUCCCAAUUUUGAUCCAUCAAAGCUUGAGAACAUUGUAAAGAAUUUUUCGUCCAAGCAAGAAUCUUUGCCUCUGUCCUUUGGUUCAAUUGGAAGCCUCCCAAGUGAUGACAAUGUUCUAUUUCUUGCCCCAACACCAACUUUGUCUCUACUUCAGUUCCACUCACAGCUGUUUGAUGCUAUGAAAAAGGAGGGCAUUGAGAUUGCAGAUGAGCAUCGUCCUGAUACGUGGAUUCCUUAUUGCCCGGUAGCUGAAGAGGUGCCUAAAACUCGUAUGGGGGAGGCAUUCACUGUUUUGAGGGAUCUGAAAUUACCUGUUGCUGGAUAUGCAAUGGAAAUUGCACUUGUCGAGUAUCCUCCAGUUCGUGAAGCAUUUUCUUUUGUGCUUGGUAAUACAGUUGAACCUUGAGGUUUCAGACAUGUAAUUGUGUUGAUUUUAGUUUAGGCUUUUACCUUUCAUAUCCUAUAUAGUUGCUCUUGUAGAACCUGAUAUAGAUGGUUAAGAGUGUUAUUAUCGUUGCUAAAUGGUCAUCUGCUUUGAUGAAAUAUUAAGUCAUUUCUGAUUCUUUCCUAUUGUUCGUACUUGCAUUGAGAUGUUGAUCUCUUAUGUCAGUGUUGGUGAUAAUAACAUGCUUAUUUUUUUUUCUUAUCUAUGGGAAGUCUCUGGUCGACCUCUAUUAGCAUAGAAAUUUUAUUUGCUUCUGUGUUCUAUCUUAUAAAUCAUGAACAUUGUUUGGCUUACGUGUUCUACUUUGUAAGUCUUGAAUGUGGUUCCUUUCAUUCAAAUGUAAUAUGUUUUAGUUCUUGUUAAGUUUAGCAAGUUCGAAUCAUGUGAGGUAAAUUUGCUUUUGUUAAAUAAUGUUGAGUAUAAAACUUGCUUGCGUUUAAAAAUGUUCACUUAUACAUUACUGCAGUACACCUUCUAAUUUGCAAGUCUCAAAGAUCAUGUGCUUUCUUUAGAUUGUAAUAUAUCCUGGUGCUUGUUGAAUUUAAUAUGAUUGAAUCAUGUGAGGGGAGUACAGAAGCUACCAGUUUUGUAUGGUUGGUAAAUCAAAUAGUAUUUGGAGAAAACAUGAGGCAGAGUUGAUUGAUGUACUAGCUGAAUAAACUGGAUAAAAGACAAGAACAGUCCAUUAUGUUUGACGUUGGUUUUGACUAACCCUUUUUUUUUUUUUUUUUUUUUUUUUUUUUUUUUUUUUUUUUUUUUUUUUUUUUUUUUUUUUUUUUUUUUUUUUUUUUUUUUUUUUUUUUUUUUUUUUUUUUUUUUUUUUUUUUUUUUUUUUUUUUUUUUUUUUUUUUUUUUUUUUUUUUUUUUUUUUUUUUUUUUUUUUUUUUUUUUUUUUUUUUUUUUUUUUUUUAAAAUCAUGG
RNAcentral lists this long non-coding RNA (36324 nucleotides) under Capsicum annuum. Its description in RNAcentral is "long non-coding RNA (CANN_LNC003584)". Lineage: Eukaryota; Viridiplantae; Streptophyta; Magnoliopsida; Solanales; Solanaceae. The record is from RNAcentral.